UAGCUGCAGCCGGGGUAGCUAACUAGCUGCAGCGGUGACCACCCGUGAGUGAUGGCAGCUGAACUGAAACCAGUAACUUCAAAUCAGACCUCCUCACUCCUAAAAUCCCUGGAUGGUGAUGACCCUGACCUGAGCCACCCACGGCCCCUGCUGUGUCUUGAACUCUCCCUGACCUCAGCACCAUAUCAAAGGGUCAGACAGAGGCAGGACCCACCACGAUGUCCACUAAAGGCUGCCCUGACAGACAACAGGCAGACAGCGAGGCAUCCAGGGUGUGUGCAUGUGUGUCCUUUCCCUCUCUCUCUCUUUAAAGAUCAGAAAAUCAGCAGUGUUACCGCCAUCUACAAAGUAGUGUGAAGCUACAGCCGCCAGCUGCCUCCACUUCAGAGAGAGAGGGCAUGUCAAAACAGCACAUGGAUCUACGCGGCUAAAGUCGCGGGCUGUGUGUGGAGCUCUCACAGGUCAUGUGGAGUGACAGACCUGGUCCUUCAGGCACCUCUGCUCUGUAAAGGUGACCAGCUCUUGUAGAAUCCUGGGUGUGCCAAAUUUCUUCCAUCUGAGAAUUAUGGAGGCCACUGUGCUCUUGGGAACUUUCAUUGCAGCAGAAUUUCUUUGUAGCCUUUACUCAAGGUGUAGAAACAUCCCAGCAAAGAUUGGAAGAAAUAGGGGGAAUCUGAGCUAAAU
Molecule: long non-coding RNA, 684 nt
Organism: Cheilinus undulatus (humphead wrasse)
Lineage: Eukaryota; Metazoa; Chordata; Actinopteri; Labriformes; Labridae
Exons: 3
Source: RefSeq, a predicted model, not a curated record